This 448-nucleotide ribosomal RNA is filed under the name uncultured bacterium. Its description in RNAcentral is "SSU rRNA". It matches the Rfam family "Bacterial small subunit ribosomal RNA", at positions 26 to 518 of the family's 1533-position model. The record is from RNAcentral.
AGAGCGAACGCUGGCGGCAGGCUUAACACAUGCAAGUCGAACGGACCCUUCGGGGUUAGUGGCGGACGGGUGAGUAACACGUGGGAACGUGCCUUUUGGUUCGGAACAACACAGGGAAACUUGUGCUAAUACCGGAUGUGCCCUUCGGGGGAAAGAUUUAUCGCCAUUAGAGCGGCCCGCGUCUGAUUAGCUAGUUGGUGGGGUAAAGGCCUACCAAGGCUACGAUCAGUAGCUGGUCUGAGAGGAUGACCAGCCACAUUGGGACUGAGACACGGCCCAAACUCCUACGGGAGGCAGCAGUGGGGAAUCUUGCGCAAUGGGCGAAAGCCUGACGCAGCCAUGCCGCGUGAAUGAUGAAGGUCUUAGGAUUGUAAACCACUGUCGCGAGGGACGAAAAAAUGACGGUACCUCGAAAGGAAGCACCGGCUAACUCUGCGCCAGCAGCCGC